Molecule: unclassified non-coding RNA, 491 nt
Filed under: Plagiobothrys canescens var. canescens
Lineage: Eukaryota; Viridiplantae; Streptophyta; Magnoliopsida; Boraginales; Boraginaceae
Description: partial external transcribed spacer
Source: RNAcentral
GUCGACNCGGGGGCUGGUAGUGCAGAACGUGUAGGUGCAUGAGUGGUGUUUUGCUUGUGUCGGUUGGUUGGAUCCUUGCUCUGGCAACGACGUCCGUCCCCACAUGCAUCUUCAGUCGGGUCUCGUGAUACGUGUUAUCUCGAGUUUUGUAUUGGUUUCCUGUGUUGCGUACCUCUAAAGAUGGCAAUCGACAGUCCAAAACGUCCCAUUUCGCCUUUCGUCGUCCCUUCUUGUGGCGGCGCGGGGUGAACCUCGAAGUAAUCUCUGCGUCCCNCUCCACCCGCAUUCGGUUGUGGUNGUGGACUGGUCCGCAGGGUAUUCGCUUGAGCUCUCGGAUGCGGUGCAUUAUAUACGGGCAUGGGGACUCGCGUCCCCUGUUUGCCCGAACAAAAGCUUUCGUCGCUUAGUUGCGAACGAUUGCGGUCCCCGUUUCGAGCCUUCGGGCAAGUGCGGUGAUCGCUUCGUUGAGGAAUGCUACCUGGUUGAUCCUG